Non-coding RNA from Rattus norvegicus (Norway rat), 988 nucleotides. Lineage: Eukaryota; Metazoa; Chordata; Mammalia; Rodentia; Muridae. The record is from RefSeq and is a predicted model, not a curated record.
CCUGUUUUAAUUUUGUUGUUGUCGUUUGGGGUUCUUGUUUGCUUUUGCUUUUUGUUUUGUUUUGUUCUGUUGUUUUUGUAGUUGGCAUCUAGAUCCGAUCUUUGCGAUAAGAUUGCCCAUGGCUACUGUGCUCAGAUAAAGAAACCUACAGCUGGAACUAUUAGAUGACUUGUGGAAGACCACUCAACUGAGCGGAUUGGGUUCAAGUCCAACUGACUGAAUUCGAGAACUCAUGCACCACACCACUGCCUCCUCUCCGUAGCACCGCUUGUCAGGUGACUUUAUCCUGAAGCCUGUGCUAGUCAUUUUAUAUCCCUCUUAAAGAAGGUAGAUCCGGCCAAGAGAGCUCUCCUUGAAGGACUUGGCUCCUGUGGAAGCUGAUAGUGUGCAAGGAAACGCAGCAGCCUGGAGACCCGAGAAAAGCUGAGGUCACCAUCUCGGAAUGCAAGUCAUGGGGACAGCACUUCAGGAAAGUGGACGGUUCCCGUGUGGCAGACUUGAGGGUUAUUUCACCCUGCAGCAAACUCAUUCCUUUUCUCCUAAGUCUGUCAACUGCUGUGCGAGAUCCAACAGUAUGAUGGAGAAUAACCUGUUUCACUCAAGGGUGAUGAUUAAAACGUUAGUCGUACCUAACAAUCUGGCGACACCUAGACCAGCAUUUAACUAAAUCACCGAGGCCAUGGUCUAGACAAGUUACCAUUCCCAGGUAACCAACGCAACAGGUAUGAGCAAAAUUCACCAAAAUAGCAGGUGCACAGCACACAAACGUGUAGCCAGCUCCUCGGUCUGCAACCACGACAGACAUUCCUUGACAGCCAGCACUCUCUCCCCCACAGUUCAGCUCCACUGGAAGGGAAGACAUGAGCGCUAACUCAUCAAAACCUCGCUGCAUCGCCCACCACUCGAGGUGCUUGCCUGGUUACUGUCUUUCUUCACAUGCGGCCUUUCAGACGUGUGCUGGCCUGAAGAUUUAGCAAGUGUAACCAUA